RNAcentral lists this ribosomal RNA (497 nucleotides) under uncultured bacterium. Its description in RNAcentral is "partial 16S ribosomal RNA". It matches the Rfam family "Bacterial small subunit ribosomal RNA", at positions 28 to 507 of the family's 1533-position model. The record is from RNAcentral.
GAUGAACGCUGGCGGCGUGCCUAAUACAUGCAAGUCGAGCGCUGGAGGUCGGUACUUGUUCUACUUGGAUGAGCAGCGAACGGGUGAGUAACGCGUGGGGAAUCUGCCUAUGAGCGGGGGAUAACUUUUGGAAACGAAUGCUAAUACCGCAUAAAAAUUUUAAACAAAAGUUUUAAGUUUGAAAGAUGCAAUUGCUUCAAUCAAAGAUGCUAUCGCGUCGUAUUUGAUUGUUUGUGAGGUAAAGGCUUAUCAAGGCGAUGAUUCAUAGCCGUCCUUAGAGGGUGAACAGCCACAAUGGGACUUGGACACAGCCCAAACUCCCACAGGAGGCAACAAUAAGGAAUCUUCGGCAAUGGACGAAAGUCUUACCGGACAACGCCACGUGAAUGAAUGAAGGUUUCCGAUCGUAAAACUCUGUUUGUAAAGAAAAACGAUAGGUGUAAGUAAAAGCUCAUCAAGUGACGGUAACUACCCAGAAAGCGACGGCUAACUACGUG